GUUGGCGACGUUCAGUUCCUUGAUGGUGCGCACCCAGCGCACACGCUCGUUCGACAACCCGUUCAGUAACCUUGCCAAAAUUGUUUUUACACAAUGAUU
Molecule: long non-coding RNA, 99 nt
Organism: Aricia agestis (brown argus)
Lineage: Eukaryota; Metazoa; Arthropoda; Insecta; Lepidoptera; Lycaenidae
Exons: 3
Source: RefSeq, a predicted model, not a curated record